AGGAUUUGUGGAUGUGUUUGUUCAACUAGGGGACCAAAGACAGAUUAGAGAGGUACAAAGAUAAAUCCUCUUUUGCAACCCAGAACUCACUGUUCAGUGUGAGUUUUGAGAUAAAGAAGAACAAA
Small nucleolar RNA from Arvicola amphibius (Eurasian water vole), 125 nucleotides. RefSeq annotates it as small nucleolar RNA SNORA40. The transcript has a single exon. Lineage: Eukaryota; Metazoa; Chordata; Mammalia; Rodentia; Cricetidae. The record is from RefSeq and is a predicted model, not a curated record.